RNAcentral lists this ribosomal RNA (253 nucleotides) under uncultured bacterium. RNAcentral's name for it is "partial 16S ribosomal RNA". It matches the Rfam family "Bacterial small subunit ribosomal RNA", at positions 524 to 776 of the family's 1533-position model. The record is from RNAcentral.
GACGUAGGGGACGAGCGUUGCCCGGAAUUACUGGGCGUAAAGGGCGUGUAGGCGGCGGAAUGUGUCCUGUGUGAAAGCGAAGGGCUUAACCCUUCGUCGUCGCAGGAAACUGUUUCGCUAGAGGGCAGUAGAGGUUGGUGGAAUUCCCGGAGAAGCGGUGACAUGCGUAGAGAUCGGGAGGAACACCGGUGGCGAAGGCGGCCAACUAGGCUGACCCUGACGCUGAGGCGCGAAAGCGUGGGGAGCAAACCGA